AUUAACCUCCUAUUAGUUUAAAUCUUCAUCUUUAGGCCCCUAUCUCCUCUCAAGGCUUCAUACUUAACAUUAAGGUUCUAUAACUUUUAUAUACUAUAAACAAACUAAGUAAGGAAAAUAAAAUAAAGUUUUUUCAUACCAACUCUUUUUAAUUUAAUCUAUUAUCCACUCUAACAUACAUUUAGUUUUAUUAACAUUUAAUGUGUUCUAACUAAUU
RNAcentral lists this long non-coding RNA (217 nucleotides) under Physcomitrium patens. Its description in RNAcentral is "long non-coding RNA (PPAT_LNC012809)". Lineage: Eukaryota; Viridiplantae; Streptophyta; Bryopsida; Funariales; Funariaceae. The record is from RNAcentral.